Molecule: small nuclear RNA, 107 nt
Organism: Talpa occidentalis (Iberian mole)
Lineage: Eukaryota; Metazoa; Chordata; Mammalia; Eulipotyphla; Talpidae
Source: RefSeq, a predicted model, not a curated record
GUGCUCGCUUCGGCAGCACAUUUACUAAAAUUGGGACGAUACAGAGAAGAUUAGCAUGGAAGAUGAAAAUGUAUACAUUGUACAAAAAUGAAAAAUGAUGUAAAAAU